This 47-nucleotide non-coding RNA is filed under the name Trichobilharzia regenti. The record is from RNAcentral. Lineage: Eukaryota; Metazoa; Platyhelminthes; Trematoda; Strigeidida; Schistosomatidae.
GUCCAGUGACGAGUCCCAAAUAGGACGAAAUGCGCGUUAUCCUGGAU